GCAAGUCGAACGGAGUUUUAACGGAAGUUUCGGAUGGAAGUUAGAAACUUAGUGGGCGGACGGGUGAGUAACGCGUGGGGUAACCUGCCUCAGUACAGGGGGAUAACAGUUAGAAAUGACUGCUAACACCGACAUAAUGUAGCGAAACCGCAUGAUUUUGCUAAUACAAAUAUUUAUAGGUAUGAGAUGGGCCCGCGUCUGAUUAGCUAGUUGGUGGGGUAAAAGCCUACCAAGGCGACGAUCAGUAGCCGGCUUGAGAGAGUGACCGGCCACAUUGGGACUGAGACACGGCCCAAACUCCUACGGGAGGCAGCAGUGGGGAAUAUUGGACAAUGGGGGAAACCCUGAUCCAGGCCGACGCCGCGUGAGUGAAGAAGUAUUUCGGUAUGUAAAGCUCUAUCAGCAGGGAAGAUAAUAGACAGUACCUGACUAAGAAGCCCCGGCUAACUACGUGCCAGCCGCGGC
Molecule: ribosomal RNA, 465 nt
Filed under: uncultured bacterium
Lineage: Bacteria
Description: bacterial SSU rRNA
Rfam family: Bacterial small subunit ribosomal RNA
Source: RNAcentral